Molecule: long non-coding RNA, 1976 nt
Filed under: Brachypodium distachyon (stiff brome)
Lineage: Eukaryota; Viridiplantae; Streptophyta; Magnoliopsida; Poales; Poaceae
Description: long non-coding RNA (BDIS_LNC000452)
Source: RNAcentral
UCAAGGUUCUUCUGGGCUAAAUAAUUUUUGAAGGAGUAAAAUACAUUAGAGGUCAUAAUUUUUUCGUAAAAGUCCCAAGAGUCCUAGUUCUAUGAAAUUGCACAUUUGAGUUCCAAUUGUUUUACAGGUUCAGCGCAGGUCCUAUGUCUGUUCGGUCAUGUGCCUCCUGUCCACGUGGCUUUUUGGGCCCACAUGUCACGUGUCUAGGUGGACUCAUUUUUGCUAAAAACACCCUGCCUUUUUCUUCCUUCUUCCCCGUCAGCCCUUCACUCUCUAUCAGGUGCGUGGUGGCGAGGUUCGCGGUGCAGAUGGAGAUUGGGCAGGGGCUGAGUCCGCGGGAGAAGUGCGCGGAGAAGCAGGAGAUCCUCCGGUGAGUCCGGGAAGCCGUCGUGUCCCCCGCCGAGGAGGCCACCGUGCUCGCCAAACCCCGCCAUUGCCUCGUCCCCUCUGCCUCCGUCCUACGCGCGCGCGCACCGUCGCUUCUUGCCGUCGCGGCCAUCAACCUCCCCAAGACGCACCACCUUGCCCCCGAGCUUCGCCUCGUCGCGCUGAGUUCUCCUGAGGAAGGAAUCGACUUGAGGUGCUAGGAAUCGCCGCCAUCGAGCCCUUCUUCCCCAAGUCCGGUCGUGCACUGCCGCCGCCCGAUCUCCUUCUCCAGUGAGUUUUGGACUCCACCGCCACCUUCCUCGGAUCUGCGGAGACACCCUGUAGCCGCUGAUGCUCUUCCCCAACCCCAGCUCGCCUCGUCGCUCUGCCUCGGGCGCCGCCAGACGCCGUUGAACUCCACCAUCCCGAGCUCCUCCUUCCCGUACGACCACUCAAGUGCAUUCACGGUGAGCCUCUCGUCCGUUUCCCCCUAUCCCCUUGCGCUCCCGUGCCUCGUAGCCCUCUACCGCCCACCGCCAUGGCGUCGUCAGCCCCGUGCUGAUGCAGAGCAGGAACAGGAUCUACCACUGGGGCUCCGUCAGCAACGAGCUCCUCACGCACAAGCAGGUCGUCCACCUCUCCAAGAAAAUCAAGGACGGCAUCUGGCUCCAACAUCAACGAUCCAACAGCAUCUGGAGAAGAGAGGAAUCACGGGGGAGAAGGAAGAAGAUGCGGGUUUUUUUAGCAAAAAUGCGUCCACCCGGCCAUCUGCAUCCGGGCAUCUGACAUGUGGGUCCAAAUAGCCACGUCGACUGGAGGCACGGGGCUGAACCACCAUAGGACGUGUGAUGAACCACUUAUGAAACAAUUGGAACUCAAACGUGCAGUUUUAAAAAAUUAAAACUAAUUUGGGACAUUUACAAAAGAAUUAGAACUUUUGAUGCAUUUUACUCUUUUUUAAGAGUCAUCAGUAUAAUCUUAAGUUAGAUCGUGUUUUUGUUGAACAAUGCAGACAUUUGACCAACAAAAUACUUUCUCUCAUUUUCAACAUUUCUUUGGGGGGUACUAGCUGAAAUAUAAUUUCUUAAUGCAGAGAGAAAGGUGGGCUGGGCCCGGCCCAGCUGGCCAUUGCCUAGACGUGCAUGUGGUGUGGGGCUGUAGAGUACACACGUGUACAGAGAAGGGCAGCAGAGGUUGCACCAAACGCAGAUAUCUUAUUUGCACAUAUAAAUUAUCAUAAUUUGUAUUCAAACACGAAUGCCCUUAUUACAUGGAGAUAACAGCAAAAUAAAGAGACCAUAAAGAAUGGGUGGAUAUUCUUCUCUUCACCACAUAUUUACAGGACUAUUCUACACAUGUAAACAAAAACAAUUUAUGUGGCCCAAAGAAGAGCCCCCUAAUUAAGCUAAAGUUAGACAAGUCAAGAAAGGGAAAAGACCACUGAUGUGGUGGGUGCAUGUGUAAUUACGGAUUUAGACUUGUAGAAGAAUUUACUUUGUUUCCUUAGAUGCUAGCAGGGGUGGUGGAGACGGAGCCGGUGCUACAGGGAGAAGUUAUUGAUCAUCCAGCUUAUAAAUAUAAAAAAUCUACAAGUAUAACAUCAUUAGCCC